GAUGAAGAACGUAGCGAAAUGCGAUAAGUAAUGUGAAUUGCAGAAUUCAGUGAAUCAUCGAAUCUUUGAACGCACAUUGCGCCCCCUGGUAUUCCGGGGGGCAUGCCUGUCCGAGCGUCAUUACAACCCUCAAGCUCAGCUUGGUGUUGGGCCCCGCCGCCCCGGCGGGCCCUAAAGUCAGUGGCGGUGCCGUCCGGCUCCGAGCGUAGUAAUUCUUCUCGCUCUGGAGGUCCGGUCGUGUGCUCGCCAGCAACCCCCAAUUUUUUUCAGGUUGACCUCGGAUCAGGUAGGGAUACCUGCUGAACUUAAGCAUAUCAAUAAGCGGAGGA
Molecule: unclassified non-coding RNA, 329 nt
Filed under: soil metagenome
Description: partial contains 5.8S ribosomal RNA, internal transcribed spacer 2, and large subunit ribosomal RNA
Rfam family: 5.8S ribosomal RNA (bases 1-120)
Source: RNAcentral